GCCCGGAUGGUGAAAUUGGUAGACACAAGGGACUUAACAUCCCUCGGCGAAAGCCGUACCGGUUCGAUACCGGUUCCGGGCACCA
RNAcentral lists this transfer RNA (85 nucleotides) under Deltaproteobacteria bacterium. Its description in RNAcentral is "tRNA-Leu". It matches the Rfam family "tRNA". Rfam says of the family: Transfer RNA (tRNA) molecules are approximately 80 nucleotides in length. Their secondary structure includes four short double-helical elements and three loops (D, anti-codon, and T loops). The record is from RNAcentral. Lineage: Bacteria; Pseudomonadati; Myxococcota; Myxococcia.